GCUAGUUGCACGAGUUCAGACUCGUAGCAGAUAGCUCAGUAACACGUGGCCAAACUACCCUAUGGAUCCGGACAACCUCGGGAAACUGAGGCUAAUCCGGAAUACGACUCUCAGGCUGGAAUUGCCGGGAUUCCAAAACGUUCCGGCGCCUUAGGAUGUGGUUGCGGCCAAUUAGGUAAACGGGGGGGUAACGGCCCACCGGGCCGAUAAUCGGUACGGGUUGUGAAAGCAAAAGCCCGGAAACGGUAUCUGAAACAAGAUACCGGGCCCUACGGGGCGCACCAGGCGCGAAACCUUUACACUGCACGCAAGUGCGAUAAGGGGACUCCAAGUGCGAGGGCAUAUAGUCCUCGCUUUUCACAACCGUAAGGAGGUGGUAGAAUAAGUGCUGGGCAAGACCGGUGCCAGCCGCCGCGGUAAUACCGGCAGCACAAGUGAUGACCGCUAUUAUUGGGCCUAAAGCGUCCGUAGCUGGCCACGCAAGUCUAUCGGGAAAUCCGCCCGCCUAACGAGCGGGCGUCCGGUGGAACCUGCUUGGCUUGGGACCGGAAGACCUAAAGGGUACGUCUGGGGUAGGAGUGAAAUCCUGUAAUCCUGGACGGACCACCGGUGGCGAAAGCGCUCUGGAAGACGGAUCCGACGUUGAGGGACGAAGCUCG
RNAcentral lists this ribosomal RNA (659 nucleotides) under Natronorubrum sp. RNAcentral's name for it is "bacterial SSU rRNA". It matches the Rfam family "Archaeal small subunit ribosomal RNA", at positions 53 to 713 of the family's 1478-position model. The record is from RNAcentral. Lineage: Archaea; Methanobacteriati; Methanobacteriota; Halobacteria; Halobacteriales; Natrialbaceae.